RNAcentral lists this long non-coding RNA (2283 nucleotides) under Volvox carteri. RNAcentral describes it as "long non-coding RNA (VCAR_LNC000497)". Lineage: Eukaryota; Viridiplantae; Chlorophyta; Chlorophyceae; Chlamydomonadales; Volvocaceae. The record is from RNAcentral.
UGGUAACGGCUUACCUGUACGGCAGGUGGCAGCAGACUGCGACCCUGCAUACUUGGUGAUCCGCGCGCAUCAGAUGUGGCGGCGGAAGGGAUUAAAUACAUGCAUACAUAUAUACACAUAUAUACAUACAUACAUACCUGGAACGAGUGAGCGGCAUCAGCGGGAAGUGGCAGCGGCGACGCGCGGGUUAUACAUACAUCCGACACUGCCCGUCGCAGCCGUCGCCGCCGCCGCCACAACCAUGAUUUUUUUACUUCGUUGCGCAUUUCAUUUGGGGAUGGGCAGGCCGCCAGGUGACACUUAGUCGCACAGAGAGCAGCGGGACGUGUGUCAUUAUCGCUGAAAGAGGGGCUUGUCGAGGGAACCUUGAUAAUGCAUUUCAAUAAAAUUGGUACGGUAGCUGGAGCGCGCGAGCGCGCACAUGUGUGUGUGUGUGGCUUGGAUCUUCUUGGUAGGAAGAUGCUUGCAACAUCGCUGCCGGUUGUCUGCGUCUUGGAAGCCCGGUGUAUGUGAUGUGUCCACACCCCCUAAGUAUCCAAGGAUAGCCUUCUGCGUUUUCCGUCGUACGCCACGAUGGUCGUACGCCUGCUAAGCAAUGUGCGCCGUUUUUUUUCACUGUUGCACUGCCGCGUUUUCCUAUCGUAAGUAAAGUUGUAUAUCCUGCUUUUCUUCACAAACACAUAUCACAUAUUCUCUCUUUCCCAGAUCAGUGGUGGCUUUCUCUCGUGGUGUUUUAUUCCAUUUACUAGGAUAUCACUUCCCACUUGUUUGUCCGUGCUCACGCGCCCAUGCGCGCCUCAUUAAUAUGUACUCGAAGGCCCACGGAACCCGAUUACGAUUGUGCCCGUGGUGCAGCCGUACCUGUCAUAUGUAAGUAGAUUCAAUAGAUAGCGGAUGAUAGACAAUGCUGACACACUAGCUCAACGGCUCAUUAUGGCAAAGUAGUGCAUGGGUCUAGCUGCUGACGGUUUAGCUAGUGCUGGUCACCGAACUUGUGUCUUCUUUUUGCACUCUCUAUCUAGGCAUUUCUGUCGUUAGGUUUCGGGGCGCCUGCCGGAGGCUCUCCAGUCAGCCGUCAUGCACUUGAUGUACGGCGGUAAUCAGUAAAUCUGCUCGUACUUUUUGUAUGCUGAUGUAUGAAGUACUCGUGCAGAUACUUUGAUGCAGCAAGACACGUAAUGUACGGAGGUGCUCUGUACGUAAAGUACGUGGCAUGCGAAGUCCUUACAGCGGAGCAUUUGGCGUACGGAGGUAUUUGGCGUACGGAGGUAUUUGGCGUACGGAGGUAUUUGGCGUACGGAGGUAUUUGGCGUACGGAGGUACAUGGCGUACGGAGGUACAUGGCGUACGGAGGUAUUUGGCGUACGGAGGUAUUUGGCGUACGGAGGUACAUGGCGUACGGAGGUACAUGGCGUACGGAGAUACUUGGCGUGUAGGCGUACUUGGUGCAACAAGGCACAUGAUGUACGGAUCACUGAGUUUCAUCAGUUCUGCGAGUAAAAUUUGUGUGUUAAUGCACAGCUGCAGAUUGAAAGCCGAUUGAUAGGAGGUGAGGCCGAAAGCGAGGGGUAGUGUAGAGGUUAGACGGCCGGUUGUUUGGCGUUGCGGAGGUUGGGAUAUGGGGCUGCCUUGGGCUCUAGCGGGGCUGUGCCUAGGGAAUAUUUCCCAAUGCGAUAUUGUUCCGAUGUUCCGAUGGCUUGGAUGUGGGAGUCCAGUGUCGUGUCUCGUCCUUGAACUUGUAGAUCAGCAGAUCGCGAAAAUAAAUUGAUUGUUGAAUGGGUGGACGAACGGCAGAUGGAUGGCCGUGGAUAUUUAAGCCGUCGUUGUUUGGCUAUAUAUUUCUACCGGCAUCUGUCUCGUCCCUUGGUAAAGCAAGCGUUCCUGAUCAGUAGUAUAAGGACUUGUUCACAUGCUGUGUAAUUAGUACGGUGCGGCGGAAUUGUGAUUUGAAUUUUGGGCUAUUGGGCCGAAUGUCGAACUUGGGGGCUGAUUCGGCUGGAUUCGGGAUUGAUUCGAUGUAUAUGGAAAAAAAAUUGAUAUAAAGACCAUUUUGUAAUUGGGGACCCCACUUUAUUAAUUCACCAGUCGGCAAAUGCCGUGAAUUACUUUUUAGCAAUUAACCUGCCAUACAUAUACUUCUAUGAAAAGGGCAUCAGUAUGAAGUUAUCCAUAAGUGGCACACUAGUUAUCAGGGCCUCAGACCUGCUGAUAACUUUCAAAGUGGACAUCAACUUCCGAGCGGGAAAAUUCAUAGUCAGCCAUUUCCCUCCCCAAGGUCCUUCG